This 498-nucleotide ribosomal RNA is filed under the name uncultured bacterium. RNAcentral describes it as "bacterial SSU rRNA". It matches the Rfam family "Bacterial small subunit ribosomal RNA", at positions 29 to 507 of the family's 1533-position model. The record is from RNAcentral.
AACGAACGCUGGCGGCGGGCCUAAUACAUGCAAGUCGAACGAGAAAAUCCGGCUUCGGCUGGGUGAGUAAAGUGGCGAACGGGUGAGUAACACGUGGGCAAUCUACCCUUAAGUUUGGGAUAAGCCCUCGAAAGGGGGUCUAAUACCGGAUAAUAUCCGGAGAUGGCAUCUUUUCCGGAUCAAAGGCGGAGCAAUCUGCCGCUUAGGGAUGAGCCCGCGUCCCAUUAGCUUGUUGGUGAGGUAACGGCUCACCAAGGCUGUGAUGGGUAGCCGGCCUGAGAGGGUGAUCGGCCACACUGGGACUGAGAUACGGCCCAGACUCCUACGGGAGGCAGCAGUAGGGAAUAUUGCGCAAUGGACGAAAGUCUGACGCAGCCACGCCGCGUGGAUGAUGAAGCUUUUCGGAGUGUAAAAUCCUGUCAGUGGGGAAGAACCGGUCGGGGAGUAACUGCCCCGGCCCUGACGGUACCCGCAGAGGAAGUUCCGGCUAACUCCGUG